CCUUGUUCACAAAACCACGGCACAGACACAGACUCCAAAGGAAACGGCAUUCUCAUAAGACACUCUGCCACGCAGAUAGAGCCAGGCAACUGCCUGUGGUCAUCAUCCUCUGACUCUCAGAGGCGGGGGCGCCCGGCUCUCCUCCGGAGCCCACUGAUUGUCUGUGACUCAGGGGAGGUGACUUUGUUCCACCGCAUCGUUCAUCAUCGCCUGGCGAUGGAGAUAGAGACACUGAUAUGUGCAAGCCCUCCUGGACUCACUCCAGCAGUGAUACUAGACUGGUCAGUUUCAUUCUCUGUCUCUGGUCAGUUUCACAUUCUGGUUCUCCUGCCUUAGACUAACCCAGGGGUCAGCAACCUUUCAGAAGUGGUGUGCCGAGUCUUCAUUUAUUCACUCUGAUUUAAGGUUUUGCGUGCCGGUAAUACAUUUUAACCAUUUUAGAAGGUCUCUUUCUAGAAGUCUCAGAGUAACAGCCGUGUUAGUCUGUAUCCGCAAAAAGAAGAACAGGAGUACU
This is a long non-coding RNA of Malaclemys terrapin pileata, 514 nucleotides long. RefSeq lists it as uncharacterized. The transcript is spliced from 3 exons. The record is from RefSeq and is a predicted model, not a curated record. Lineage: Eukaryota; Metazoa; Chordata; Testudines; Emydidae.